RNAcentral lists this transfer RNA (85 nucleotides) under Trametes cingulata. Its description in RNAcentral is "tRNA-His". It matches the Rfam family "tRNA". Rfam says of the family: Transfer RNA (tRNA) molecules are approximately 80 nucleotides in length. Their secondary structure includes four short double-helical elements and three loops (D, anti-codon, and T loops). The record is from RNAcentral. Lineage: Eukaryota; Fungi; Basidiomycota; Agaricomycetes; Polyporales; Polyporaceae.
GUCCUUGUCGAUUAGUGGUUAGAUCAUCACGUUGUGGCAACUCCACAGAACCGUGAAGACGGAGGCUCGAAUCCUCCCUGGGACA